AGCACCCGGCCUCGCCCCGAUUCCCGCGGGACCCUUCGAAUUUUAGGAACUUUUCACUAACGAAACACACUUCUGUGUCAGCACCGACAUCAAGAAGAGAACCUCACCAGCACCUCAGAACCCGCUUUGUCCCUCCCUGGUUCCUUCCCCUGGGUGCCUGGUGUGCUGCCGUCUCUCACUCGGGAGCUGGGGGCUCCCAGGUGCUCCUCCAACAGCUCAGUGCAGCAUGCUGGUGGGUCAGGGCCGGCACCUGUCCCUGGGGCCUCAGGCCUCCCUUCCUUCCCACAGCGGCCGAGAUCUCGGGUCUCUACAAUGACUCGGAGCCACCCCGAAAGACCAUGUGCAGAGGGGUGCUGAUGACCCUGCUGCAGCAGUCGGCCAUGACCCUGCCCCUGUGGAUCGGGAAGCCUGGUGACAAGAGACUACGUGGCCAGACCUGGAGACAAGGUGGCUGCCCGGGUGAAGGCCGUGGAUGGGGAUGAGCAGUGGAUCCUGGCCGAGGUGGUCAGUUACAGCCAUGCCACCAACAAGUGAGUGACACCAGCCUUGGG
This 551-nucleotide small RNA is filed under the name Pongo abelii (Sumatran orangutan). RNAcentral's name for it is "retained intron". The record is from RNAcentral. Lineage: Eukaryota; Metazoa; Chordata; Mammalia; Primates; Hominidae.